GGGCCCGCACAAGCGGUGGAGCAUGUGGUUUAAUUCGAUGCAACGCGAAAAACCUUACCAGGCCUUGACAUCCUGAGAACUUUCUAGAGAUAGAUUGGUGCCUUCGGGAACUCAGUGACAGGUGUUGCAUGGCUGUCGUCAGCUCGUGUCGUGAGAUGUUGGGUUAAGUCCCGUAACGAGCGCAACCCUUAUCCUUAUUUGCCAGCACAUAAUGGUGGGAACUCUAAGGAGACUGCCGGUGACAAACCGGAGGAAGGAGAGGAUGAUGUCAAGUCAUCAUGGCCCUUACGGCCUGGGCUACACACGUGCUACAAUGGGCAGUACAGAGGGCCGCGAACCCGCGAGGGGGAGCUAAUCCCAAAAACUGCUCGUAGUCCGGAUCGGAGUCUGCAACUCGACUCCGUGAAGUCGGAAUCGCUAGUAAUCGC
RNAcentral lists this ribosomal RNA (428 nucleotides) under uncultured bacterium. RNAcentral's name for it is "bacterial SSU rRNA". It matches the Rfam family "Bacterial small subunit ribosomal RNA", at positions 917 to 1345 of the family's 1533-position model. The record is from RNAcentral.